GAUGAACGCUGGCGGCGUGCCUAAUACAUGCAAGUCGAGCGAACAGAUGAGGAGCUUGCUCCUCUGACGUUAGCGGCGGACGGGUGAGUAACACGUGGAUAACCUACCUAUAAGACUGGGAUAACUUCGGGAAACCGGAGCUAAUAUCGGAUAAUAUAUUGAACCGCAUGGUUCAAUAGUGAAAGACGGUUUUGCUGUCACUUAUAGAUGGAUCCGCGCCGCAUUAGCUAGUUGGUAAGGUAACGGCUUACCAAGGCAACGAUGCGUAGCCGACCUGAGAGGGUGAUCGGCCACACUGGAACUGAGACACGGUCCAGACUCCUACGGGAGGCAGCAGUAGGGAAUCUUCCGCAAUGGGCGAAAGCCUGACAGAGCAACGCCGCGUGAGUGAUGAAGGUCUUCGGAUCGUAAAACUCUGUUAUUAGGGAAGAACAAAUGUGUAAGUAACUAUGCACGUCUUGACGGUACCUAAUCAGAAAGCCACGGCUAACUACGUG
RNAcentral lists this ribosomal RNA (497 nucleotides) under uncultured bacterium. RNAcentral's name for it is "partial 16S ribosomal RNA". It matches the Rfam family "Bacterial small subunit ribosomal RNA", at positions 28 to 507 of the family's 1533-position model. The record is from RNAcentral.